Non-coding RNA from Hemicordylus capensis (graceful crag lizard), 76 nucleotides. The record is from the annotation of a RefSeq genome assembly. Lineage: Eukaryota; Metazoa; Chordata; Lepidosauria; Squamata; Cordylidae.
GGAGUGGGCUGCAGCUCAGUGGUAGAGCAUCUGCUUCGCAUGCAGAAGGUUCCAGGUUCAAGCCCUGGCCUCGCCA